RNAcentral lists this ribosomal RNA (462 nucleotides) under uncultured bacterium. Its description in RNAcentral is "bacterial SSU rRNA". It matches the Rfam family "Bacterial small subunit ribosomal RNA", at positions 340 to 787 of the family's 1533-position model. The record is from RNAcentral.
UACGGAAGGCAGCAGUGGGGAAUAUUGGACAAUGGGCGCAAGCCUGAUCCAGCCAUGCCGCGUGUGUGAAGAAGGCCUUUUGGUUGUAAAGCACUUUAAGCGAGGAGGAGGCUCUCUUAGUUAAUACCUAAGAUGAGUGGACGUUACUCGCAGAAUAAGCACCGGCUAACUCUGUGCCAGCAGCCGCGGUAAUACAGAGGGUGCGAGCGUUAAUCGGAUUUACUGGGCGUAAAGCGUGCGUAGGCGGCUUUUUUAAGUCGGAUGUGAAAUCCCCGAGCUUAACUUGGGAAUUGCAUUCGAUACUGGGAAGCUAGAGUAUGGGAGAGGAUGGUAGAAUUCCAGGUGUAGCGGUGAAAUGCGUAGAGAUCUGGAGGAAUACCGAUGGGCGAAGGGCAGCCAUCUGGGCCUAAUACUGACGCUGAGGUACGAAAGCAUGGGGAGCAAACAGGGAUUAGGAUAACC